GUCGCAUGAAUCCCAUCGCUUCAAGAGGAUGCAACAAUGGGAUUUUCAAGCACAGAAGACAUUAUUUUAAUUGAAUUAGUGGCACAGCAUUCUGCUUUAUAUGAUCCGAAACACGUAAUAUACAGUGCACAACGUGCGUGAAAAUAUUUGGGCAGAAAUUGGAGAAAAAUGGGGAAAGACAGCUGAUAUCUGCAAAAAGAGGUGGAGGAAUAUGCGGGGCACCUAUAAAAACACAAGAAAGACAUGAAAAUGGUGACUGGCUCUGCAUCAGAGUCCUGACCUAGAAAAUGGGCACUUGCUGAUGCGUUAUCCUUUCUUGAUGCUGUACAUUAUGAAAGAGUAUCUCUAUCCAGCAUUCCACUAGAUGAGUAAGAAGAAGAUAACAGUACUGCAACGCUGUUUUCUCCCAGGCCAACUACAUCUAAUGUGAAUCUUGAUGAUGAUGAUGAUAGUUAUGAAUCACGUCACAUUUCCAAUAUGCCUGUGCAGAGUACUGAGGUACAAAAGCAGUCCAUUCCCGAAACUGCUGAACAAUCAGACAGUCAGGACAGUCAGCAUUCACCAGCCUCAACUACUUCUAAAGAGAAAACAUCUGUAAAAAGGGGGAAAACUCCUACUACAAAGAGAAGAAAAGUGGGAGAAAGUAUUUUAAAAUUUCGUCAACAAAGAUCUAAUGAAUGGAACAAAAUUACUCAAACCCUUACUAACAAUUCAGAUUCAAACAAAGCUGCUGAGGAUGAAAUUGAAGCUUUCUUCAAAUAUAUGGCCAUGUUAGUAAGAAAUUUACCGCCAUUUAUGAUUUCAGAAGCCAAGAUGAAGAUUCUUAACGUUGUAUCGGAGUUGGAAUUUAGGUCGCUUCAGAUGUCCCAACCAUCACCAUCGACCACUUCACUCGAUUCUUCUAUUUCAGAGGCUUCAGGGAGCCAGAGCCAGUCACUGUUAGAGUACACAUUUAUACAGAAUUUGGAAUAAUGAAAUUCGUAAAUAGAGCAAUUGCAAAGGCUGCUCUCUACUUCAAAAUUGUCUUUGUAUUUUUUUUACUAGUGACUUAAAAACUAUGAUAUUUAAACAAACAUAGUUUAACAUGUGAUAUGAUGUGAAACUUGCAUACUAUUUACAUAUAAUGAAGU
Cryptotermes secundus is the source of this 1130-nucleotide long non-coding RNA. RefSeq lists it as uncharacterized. The record is from RefSeq and is a predicted model, not a curated record. The transcript has 3 exons. NCBI's taxonomy places the organism in Eukaryota, Metazoa, Arthropoda, Insecta, Blattodea, Kalotermitidae.